AUGAACGCUGGCGGCGUGCCUAAUACAUGCAAGUCGAGCGAACGGACGAGAAGCUUGCUUCUCUGAUGUUAGCGGCGGACGGGUGAGUAACACGUGGAUAACCUACCUAUAAGACUGGGAUAACUUCGGGAAACCGGAGCUAAUACCGGAUAAUAUUUUGAACCGCAUGGUUCAAAAGUGAAAGACGGUCUUGCUGUCACUUAUAGAUGGAUCCGCGCUGCAUUAGCUAGUUGGUAAGGUAACGGCUUACCAAGGCAACGAUGCAUAGCCGACCUGAGAGGGUGAUCGGCCACACUGGAACUGAGACACGGUCCAGACUCCUACGGGAGGCAGCAGUAGGGAAUCUUCCGCAAUGGGCGAAAGCCUGACGGAGCACCGCCGCGUGAGUGAUGAAGGUCUUCGGAUCGUAAAACUCUGUUAUUAGGGAAGAACAUAUGUGUAAGUAACUGUGCACAUCUUGACGGUACCUAAUCAGAAAGCCACGGCUAACUACGUG
RNAcentral lists this ribosomal RNA (496 nucleotides) under uncultured bacterium. RNAcentral describes it as "partial 16S ribosomal RNA". It matches the Rfam family "Bacterial small subunit ribosomal RNA", at positions 29 to 507 of the family's 1533-position model. The record is from RNAcentral.